UGCCUCGUCGUCUAAGGGCAGGACAUGUGGCUCUGAACCACAGAAUCUAGGUUCGAAUCCUAGCGAGGCAU
Molecule: transfer RNA, 71 nt
Filed under: Candidatus Woesebacteria bacterium
Lineage: Bacteria; Candidatus Woeseibacteriota
Description: tRNA-Gln
Rfam family: tRNA
About the family: Transfer RNA (tRNA) molecules are approximately 80 nucleotides in length. Their secondary structure includes four short double-helical elements and three loops (D, anti-codon, and T loops).
Source: RNAcentral